RNAcentral lists this non-coding RNA (24 nucleotides) under Arabidopsis thaliana (thale cress). Lineage: Eukaryota; Viridiplantae; Streptophyta; Magnoliopsida; Brassicales; Brassicaceae. The record is from RNAcentral.
ACAAAUACAAGCAACAUAGGGAAG